RNAcentral lists this long non-coding RNA (4177 nucleotides) under Fragaria vesca (wild strawberry). RNAcentral describes it as "long non-coding RNA (FVES_LNC000650)". Lineage: Eukaryota; Viridiplantae; Streptophyta; Magnoliopsida; Rosales; Rosaceae. The record is from RNAcentral.
GGGAUAUUAAUAUUCUUCUUGUUGGUGAUCCUGGAACCAGCAAGUCCCAGCUGCUCCAGUACAUACACAAGCUUGCUCCCCGUGGCAUAUACACUAGUGGAAGAGGGAGUUCUGCUGUUGGUUUGACUGCUUAUGUUGCGAAGGAUCCUGAAACAGGGGAAACCGUAAGAUAUAUCUUGUUUUUUUUUCAAACGUUUAUCUUAGGCAUUUCGUAAUAACAAUAUGAAGUUGACUGGAAACAAUAUACAACUUCUCAGGUUUUAGAGAGUGGAGCCUUAGUUUUGAGUGAUAGAGGCAUUUGUUGCAUUGAUGAAUUUGACAAAAUGUCUGACAGCGCAAGGAGCAUGUUACACGAGGUUGGUUGUUCUGUUAUUAUUAUUAUAAAUAUAUGGCAGACAUGUACAUUUCUUGACAUGCUAUGACAGUUUGUCCUUUUGUAACUGUAACUUUCUUUCACCUCUUGGAAAUUCUAUAUUCUCUAGCUAUAGCACAAUUGCUUAUCUUUAACUAUUACUAUGUCCAGUAAGAUUACUAUGCUUUUGUAUUAUCUAUAAAUCAAGACUUUCGGGAAACUGCAUUCUAGUAUACCCAUUGAUCAAUCUAUUUCUAGUAUAAACCAAGACUGUUGAGAAAUUAUUAACCAUUUUGAUGGAUCUGUUUUUAAUUAUGCUUAUUUUCACAGGUGAUGGAACAGCAAACUGUGUCAAUAGCAAAGGCUGGAAUCAUUGCUUCCCUUAAUGCUAGGACAUCAGUCCUGGCUUGUGCGAAUCCAAGUGGAUCUCGCUAUAAUCCUCGCUUGUCAGUAAUUGACAACAUUCACCUUCCUCCUACCUUAUUAUCUAGGUAUGAAAUACUUAUCCUAUCCCACUAGAAUGACCAUAGUUUGAGCCAAUAAUGACAAUAAAAGGGCCUAAACUUGGAAUGGACUAUGUAUUUGGCGACUGUUCAUCUAAUUUAAGGAGUUGGUGUAAUAAUUUUGUAUUUCAUUGAAUACUUUUCUGAGGAUUCGUCUAUACAUUAAUAACAUCACCCAUUUUUGUUAUUAACACACCCCAUCUAUGAUGAGAGCCAAUCAUGAAACAAAUUUAAGUGGUAUACUUGUAAAUAAAAUUGAAAUGUGUGGAUAGGAAAAUAGAUGGGGUGUGUUAAUAACAAAAAAGGGUACAUCAGUUAGACUUGCUAGAUAUGUAUAGAGGUAGACUAACUCGAGAUCAAGCCAAACUGGUGGUACUACAUGACAUCAGUCUACCUCUGUAUCAAACCUGUCUACUUGAUGUACCUUUUCAUAAAUGUAGUGUAGAACAUUCCAUUUUCUGAUUUUCUCUUUUUGUUUUUUGGUGUAAUGGGAUUGUCAAAUUUGAGUAUUACAAAGCCAUUGAUAAUAUAGUAGAGUUUAUUACUGACUUGAGCUGGUCUGGUGAUUUUCUCAGGUUCGAUCUGAUCUACUUAAUCCUUGACAAGGCUGAUGAGCAGACAGACAGGCGCCUUGCAAAGCAUAUUGUUGCUUUGCACUUUGAGAAUCCUGAGGUCUGGUGGAUAUGGUUUUUCUGUUCAAGCAAACUGAUAUGACUAAUCCUUUGUUUUACUUAAAUUGCCAUGUCUCCACUUGCAGACUGUACAGCAGGAUGUUUUAGACCUUCCCACGUUGACUGCUUAUGUUGGAUACGCUCGAAAGCAUAUUCACCCACAAUUAUCUGAUGAAGCUGCAGAGGAAUUGACUCGUGGCUAUGUAGAGUUGAGGAGGAGAGGAAAUUUUCCAGGCAGCAGCAAGAAGGUAGAAUGACACAGCAUCUUCCUACAUAUCUCUUCCUGUGAUACUUAUAUUGCAAUAGUAUUAAAACAAUUUUACUGCCUUGUACAUAGGUCACAGAUACCAGUUUUUUAUAGUACUAGAUUUUUCUUCAAUGGUAACAAAUGGCAGUUAAUAGAUAUAAGUUAAUUGUUCCCUCCACAUAGAAAAAAAAAAAUCCUCUCUUUUAUCGUGCUUAUCUUAUUUGGGAUGCCUAUAUAUCAUAUUCAUUUGUGUAAUAACUGUAACAGGUGAUAACUGCAACACCUAGGCAAAUUGAGAGUUUGAUACGUCUUAGUGAAGCUCUAGCUCGGAUUCGGUUUUCAGAAACGGUUAGCAAAGUUUGCAUUCUACCUUGAUGUUUUACACUAAGAUAAACUAAACUAAACCAUGCCCUAAUAUAUGCAGGUUGAGAAGCAUGAUGUAAUGGAGGCAUUUCGGCUUCUAGAAGUUGCAAUGCAACAAUCAGCAACAGAUCACUCCACGGGUACAAGUUUACUGCAGUUGUACAUGUUUUUUCUAUUUCUACCUCCCAUGAAGAGAAACAGUUUAAUGUCAUGAUUUUUUUACUCUAGGAACAAUUGACAUGGAUCUUAUUAAUACUGGAAUUUCGGCAAGUGAAAGAAUGAGACGGGAAAAUCUAGUGUCAUCAGCCCGCAACAUAAUUAUGGAGAAGAUGCAACUUGGGGGACCCUCAAUGCGUUUGUUAGAGGUAUGAUUUCUGAUAAGAUGUGUAUAGAAUCAAAAUCCAAAUGUCUAAAAGACCUAAAACUGACAUCUCAUUGUUCUUAAUUGAUUUUCUGUAGCUGCUGGAGGAGCUGAAGAAGCAGAGUUCUAGCAGCGAAAUUCACCUCAACGAUGUUAGUACAUUCGUCUCUCACCCUCUCUCUAUCGCAUACGCAAUAGUCUCACACUAAUGUGCUUUUAUUGGUAUUUCAGCUUAGGAAUGCACUGGCUACACUUGCAAGUGAGGGAUUUGUGGCUGUUCAGGGCGACAGUGUCAAAAGAGUGUGAUAGGAGGACCAAGAAACGUAUUGGUUGACAUUUGACAUUGCUUUUUAAUUUGUAACAAGAGGCUACUCAAGAUUUUAGUCGAAUGUUCAGUGCUUUUGCUGGUUGAUCAAAUGUAUGUAAAAUUAUUUUCAUGUAGUUGGCAUUAAGGAGUGGAAUGCCAUCAAGUAGCAAGUCGUUAAAGGUAUUGAAGUCUAAAAAUUUGGAAUUUGCAGAAAGUAUUGAUCUUAAUCUGUAAGAGUGCUGAAGUGCUUGGAUCCUCUAUUUCUCAUAUCAGUUUAAAGCAACUAGGUUUCUCAUUUCAGCAACUCAGGGUUCACCUUGUGGCCGGAUCUCAUACUUGUGCAGCCUUAAUUUUCUUCAAGUGCUGCGAGAAAGAAAGAAGUACUAUGCUGGAAGAGAAUACAGAAACUCAAAUUGAAGGCUGGGCACCAUCUUGAAAUAAGCGUAGUCCUCAAAAUUUUAGCCAACCUCGUUAUAACUCUUCACUUUAUAUUUCUCAUUGGACCCGAGUGCAGUAUUUGGCCACCUUUACAACAAUCAAAUUCAUCUCAUAGCAGUCAUGUUGUUUAGAUCUGCACAACAUGAUCCAAAUACUUACGGGUUCAUUUGAUCUGCUUAAUAAUCGUAUAUGCAACAGCUCACUGUUGGCAAGUAAUCCGUCUCGGCAAAACGAUUUUUUUUUUUUGUAUUAGGAGUAAGAUUCUCAUUUACGGACCCCUUGUUGGCCUUUAUGCUAAUUAGGUUUAUGAUACUUUUAUUUAUAACUAGAAUUAUGACCCGCGUUUUGUUGCGGGAUUUGUAAGAUUUGUGUUCAUAAUUUUUCUUCUUUUCUUCUCAUUUAUAAUGUAUCAAAAUGCAAGAUCUAUAUAGAUUGAAUUUGAAAUACUUAACAACAAAACACUUAUUAUUGUAGUAAGAGUAUAUCUUACUAUCAUAUGCAGAGGGAGAGAAUUCGUCUUGUGUUCGUUCGUCGUCCUCUUCUCCUUUCUCCUCCUUUGUCUCUCUCUCUCUCUCCUCGAUCAUGGUCGAAAUUUAUGGAAACCCAAAACAACGCAGGAGACUGUUAAUCAAAACCAAGCAGAUCAGUGAGAUCACCCAGAGAAAGCAAAUUCAACAAACUGUAACCAUUCGCUAGGCUUUGCUCUAUCGCCGCAGCAAAUCCCUAAUCCCUCUGUAUUUGAUCAAGGAAGAGAAGUGAUAUUUCUUCUUUUUCGGAGGUCGAUCUCUCUAUUCCUAUGUAUAGAUCUCUCUCUCUCUUCCCAAUUUCUUAUGUUCUUUCUCCUCGAUUCUUUCUUUCACUUUUUUAUCGGAGACAGAACAGAGCAAAUUUCAGAUGGUCCUUUCUAGAUAGUGUGCGAACUGCGAAACCCAAUC